UACGAAGGGGGCUAGCGUUGUUCGGAAUCACUGGGCGUAAAGCGCACGCAGGCGGAUUGAUAAGUCAGGGGUGAAAUCCCGAGGCUCAACCUCGGAAUUGCCUUUGAUACUGUCUAUCUUCGAGUUCGGGAGAGGUUGGCGGAAUUCCUAGUGUAGAGGCGAAAUUCGUAGAUAUUAGGAAGAACACCAGUGGCGAAGGCGGCCAACUGGCCCGAUACUGACGCUCAUGUGCGAAAGCGUGGGGAGCAAACAGG
Molecule: ribosomal RNA, 254 nt
Filed under: uncultured bacterium
Lineage: Bacteria
Description: partial 16S ribosomal RNA
Rfam family: Bacterial small subunit ribosomal RNA
Source: RNAcentral